AGGAAAAGAAACCAACAGGGAUUGCCCUAGUAACGGCGAGUGAAGCGGCAACAGCUCAAAUUUGAAAUCUGGCUCUUUCAGAGUCCGAGUUGUAAUUUGCAGAGGGCGCUUUGGUGUUGGCAGCGGUCCAAGUUCCUUGGAACAGGACGUCACAGAGGGUGAGAAUCCCGUACGUGGUCGCUAGCCUUCGCCGUGUAAAGCCCCUUCGACGAGUCGAGUUGUUUGGGAAUGCAGCUCUAAAUGGGAGGUAAAUUUCUUCUAAAGCUAAAUACUGGCCAGAGACCGAUAGCGCACAAGUAGAGUGAUCGAAAGAUGAAAAGCACUUUGGAAAGAGAGUCAAAUAGCACGUGAAAUUGUUGAAAGGGAAGCGCUUGCAGCCAGACUUGCCUGUAGUUGCUUAUCCGGACUUUUGUCCGAUGCACUCUUCUGGGGACAGGCCGUUCUCAGGUUGUUGGACUGGAUAAAGGUCUCUGUCAUGCACCUCUCUUCGGGGAGAACAUACAGAGGAAACCACAUGCAACCAGCCUGGACUGAGGUCUUCGCAUCUGCUACUAUGCUGGUCCCUGGCUGUU
RNAcentral lists this ribosomal RNA (572 nucleotides) under fungal sp. PG61. RNAcentral's name for it is "eukaryotic LSU rRNA". It matches the Rfam family "Eukaryotic large subunit ribosomal RNA", at positions 54 to 642 of the family's 3401-position model. Lineage: Eukaryota; Fungi. The record is from RNAcentral.